RNAcentral lists this ribosomal RNA (585 nucleotides) under uncultured bacterium. Its description in RNAcentral is "partial 16S ribosomal RNA". It matches the Rfam family "Bacterial small subunit ribosomal RNA", at positions 355 to 1375 of the family's 1533-position model. The record is from RNAcentral.
UGGGGAAUUUUGGACAAUGGGCGAAAGCCUGAUCCAGCAAUGCCGCGUGUGUGAAGAAGGCCUUCGGGUUGUAAAGCACUUUUGUCCGGAAAGAAAUCCUUGGCUCUAAUACAGUCGGGGGAUGACGGUACCGGAAGAAUAAGCACCGGCUAACUACGUGCCAGCAGCCGCGGUAAUACGUAGGGUGCAAGCGUUAAUCGGAAUUACUGGGCGUAAAGCGUGCGCAGGCGGUUUGCUAAGACCGAUGUGAAAUCCCCGGGCUCAACCUGGGAACUGCAUUGGUGACUGGCAGGCUAGAGUAUGGCAGAGGGGGGUAGAAUUCCACGUGUAGCAGUGAAAUGCGUAGAGAUGUGGAGGAAUACCGAUGGCGAAGGCAGCCCCCUGGGCCAAUACUGACGCUCAUGCACGAAAGCGUGGGGAGCAAACAGGAUUAGAUACCCUGGUAGUCCACGCCCUAAACGAUGUCAACUAGUUGUUGGGGAUUCAUUUCCUUAGUAACGUAGCUAACGCGUGAAGUUGACCGCCUGGGGAGUACGGUCGAAGAUUAAAAACUCAAAUGAAUUGACGGGGUCAUAGCUGUUUCCU